This 490-nucleotide ribosomal RNA is filed under the name uncultured bacterium. RNAcentral describes it as "partial 16S ribosomal RNA". It matches the Rfam family "Bacterial small subunit ribosomal RNA", at positions 29 to 507 of the family's 1533-position model. The record is from RNAcentral.
AUUGAACGCUGGCGGCAGGCCUAACACAUGCAAGUCGAACGGUAACAGGAAGAAGCUUGCUGCUUUGCGGAGGAGAGGCGGGAGGGAGAGUAAUGAAUGGGAAACUGACUGAUGGAGGGGGAUAACUACUGGAAACGGUAGCUACAAACGCAUAAAGUCGCAAGACGAGAGAGGGGGGGAUCCGAGGCUAUCGGCAUAGGCUAUGCCCAGGUGGGAUUAGCUAGUAGGUGGGGUAACGGCAGACCUAGGCGACGAUCCGUAGCUGGUCUGAGAGGAUGACCAGCCACACUGGAACUGAGACACGGUCCAGACUCCUACGGGAGGCAGCAGUGGGGAAUAUUGCACAAUGGGCGCAAGCCUGAUGCAGCCAUGCCGCGUGUAUGAAGAAGGUCUUCGGGUUGUAAAGUACUUUCAGCGGGGAGGAAGGGAGUAAAGUUAAUACCUUUGCUCAUUGACGUUACCCGCAGAAGAAGCACCGGCUAACUCCGUG